AGAGUUUGAUCCUGGCUCAGAUUGAACGCUGGCGGCAUGCUUUACACAUGCAAGUCGAACGGCAGCACGGGGGCAACCCUGGUGGCGAGUGGCGAACGGGUGAGUAAUACAUCGGAACGUAUCCUUGAGUGGGGGAUAACGCAGCGAAAGUUGUGCUAAUACCGCAUAAGCUCUGAGGAGGAAAGCGGGGGACUGAAAGGCCUCGCGCUGGAGGAGCGGCCGAUGUCCGAUUAGCUAGUUGGUGAGGUAAAGGCUUACCAAGGCGACGAUCGGUAGCUGGUCUGAGAGGAUGAUCAGCCACACUGGGACUGAGACACGGCCCAGACUCCUACGGGAGGCAGCAGUGGGGAAUUUUGGACAAUGGGGGGAACCCUGAUCCAGCCAUGCCGCGUGAGUGAAGAAGGCCUUCGGGUUGUAAAGCUCUUUCGUGAGGGAAGAAAAGGUUUGGGAUAAUACCCUGGAUUGAUGACGGUACCUCAAGAAGAAGCACCGGCUAACUACGUGCCAGCAGCCGCGGUAAUACGUAGGGUGCGAGCGUUAAUCGGAAUUACUGGGCGUAAAGGGUGCGCAGGCGGUUUGUUAAGUCAGAUGUGAAAGCCCCGAGCUUAACUUGGGAACUGCGUUUGAAACUGGCGAGCUAGAGUCUGUCAGAGGGGGGUAGAAUUCCACGUGUAGCAGUGAAAUGCGUAGAGAUGUGGAGGAAUAUCAAUGGCGAAGGCAGCCCCCUGGGAUAAGACUGACGCUCAUGCACGAAAGCGUGGGGAGCAAACAGGAUUAGAUACCCUGGUAGUCCACGCCCUAAACGAUGUCAACUGGUUGUUGGGCAACUUGAUUGUUCAGUAACGAAGCUAACGCGAGAAGUUGACCGCCUGGGGAGUACGGUCGCAAGAUUAAAACUCAAAGGAAUUGACGGGGACCCGCACAAGCGGUGGAUGAUGUGGAUUAAUUCGAUGCAACGCGAAAAACCUUACCUACCCUUGACAUGUACGGAAGUUUGCUGAGAGGCAGAUGUGCCUGAAAGGGAACCGUAACACAGGUGCUGCAUGGCUGUCGUCAGCUCGCGUCGUGAGAUGUUGGGUUAAGUCCCGCAACGAGCGCAACCCUUGCUAUUAAUUGCCAUCAUUGAGUUGGGCACUUUAAUAGGACUGCUGGUGAUAAACCGGAGGAAGGUGGGGAUGACGUCAAGUCCUCAUGGCCCUUAUGGGUAGGGCUUCACACGUCAUACAAUGGCCGGUACAGAGGGAUGCCAACCCGCGAGGGGGAGCCAAUCUCAGAAAGCCGGUCGUAGUCCGGAUUGUUCUCUGCAACUCGAGAGCAUGAAGUCGGAAUCGCUAGUAAUCGCGGAUCAGCAUGUCGCGGUGAAUACGUUCCCGGGUCUUGUACACACCGCCCGUCACACCAUGGGAGUGGGUGAUACCAGAAGUAGGCAGUCUAACCGCAAGGGGGGCGCUUACCACGGUAUGAUUCAUGACUGGGGUGAAGUCGUAACAAGGUAGCCGAAGUCGUAACAAGGUAGCCGAGGUAGAGUUUGAUCCUGGCUCAGUAAGUCGUAACAAGGUAGCCGUAGAGUUUGAUCCUGGCUCAGUCGUAACAAGGUAGCCGUAGAGUUUGAUCCUGGCUCAGAAGUCGUAACAAGGUAGCCGA
RNAcentral lists this ribosomal RNA (1644 nucleotides) under uncultured bacterium. RNAcentral's name for it is "bacterial SSU rRNA". It matches the Rfam family "Bacterial small subunit ribosomal RNA". The record is from RNAcentral.